RNAcentral lists this ribosomal RNA (305 nucleotides) under uncultured bacterium. RNAcentral describes it as "bacterial SSU rRNA". It matches the Rfam family "Bacterial small subunit ribosomal RNA", at positions 334 to 636 of the family's 1533-position model. The record is from RNAcentral.
UGCCCCUACGGGAGGCAGCAGUGAGGAAUAUUGGUCAAUGGGCGGUAGCCUGAACCAGCCAAGUAGCGUGAAGGAUGAAGGUUCUAUGGAUUGUAAACUUCUUUUAUAUGGGAAUAAAGUUUGGUAUGCAUACCAUUUUGUAUGUACCAUAUGAAUAAGGAUCGGCUAACUCCGUGCCAGCAGCCGCGGUAAUACGGAGGAUCCGAGCGUUAUCCGGAUUUAUUGGGUUUAAAGGGAGCGUAGGUGGAUUGUUAAGACAGUUGUGAAAGUUUGCGGCUCAACCGUAAAAUUGCAGUUGAAACUGG